AUGUACCGACGUACACACCGGUUCCUCCGCGCCGUCCGCACCCACCUGACGACUGCUCGCUACGUUUUGUUAGCC
This 75-nucleotide small RNA is filed under the name Xanthomonas campestris. Its description in RNAcentral is "sX9 sRNA". It matches the Rfam family "Xanthomonas sRNA sX9". Lineage: Bacteria; Pseudomonadati; Pseudomonadota; Gammaproteobacteria; Lysobacterales; Lysobacteraceae. The record is from RNAcentral.